AUUUUAAUAGCUUAAGGAAUUAAAGUUUAAUAUUGAAGAUAUUAAGAUAGUAUAUUACUUUAAAAUA
RNAcentral lists this transfer RNA (67 nucleotides) under Eoscarta assimilis. Its description in RNAcentral is "tRNA-Phe". The record is from RNAcentral. Lineage: Eukaryota; Metazoa; Arthropoda; Insecta; Hemiptera; Cercopidae.